This 468-nucleotide ribosomal RNA is filed under the name uncultured bacterium. RNAcentral describes it as "partial 16S ribosomal RNA". It matches the Rfam family "Bacterial small subunit ribosomal RNA", at positions 27 to 507 of the family's 1533-position model. The record is from RNAcentral.
GGAUGAACGCUGGCGGCGUGCUUAACCCAUGCAAGUCGACCGGAAAGGCCCAAGCUUGCUUGGGUACUCGAGUGGCGAACGGGUGAGUAACACGUGGGUGAUCUGCCCUGCACUUCGGGAUAAGCCUGGGAAACUGGGUCUAAUACCGGAUAGGACCACUUCUUGGUUGUUGUGGUGGAAAGUUUUUUCGGUGUGGGAUGAGCUCGCGGCCUAUCAGCUUGUUGGUGGGGUAAUGGCCUACCAAGGCGUCGACGGGUAGCCGGCCUGGGAGGGUGUACGGCCACAUUGGGACUGGGGUACGGCCCAGAAUCCUACGGGAGGCAGCAGUGGGGGAUAUUGCACAAUGGGGGCAAGCCUGAUGCAGCGACGCCGCGUGGGGGAUGACGGCCUUCGGGUUGUAAACUCCUUUCGCUAGGGACGAAGCGUUUUGUGACGGUACCUGGAGAAGAAGCACCGGCUAACUACGUG